RNAcentral lists this ribosomal RNA (503 nucleotides) under uncultured bacterium. RNAcentral describes it as "partial 16S ribosomal RNA". It matches the Rfam family "Bacterial small subunit ribosomal RNA", at positions 30 to 523 of the family's 1533-position model. The record is from RNAcentral.
AUUGAACGCUGGCGGCAGGCUUAACACAUGCAAGUCGAGCGGGGUGAUGGUGCUUGCACUAUCACUUAGCGGCGGACGGGUGAGUAAUGCUUAGGAAUCUGCCUAUUAGUGGGGGACAACAUCUCGAAAGGGAUGCUAAUACCGCAUACGUCCUACGAGAGAAAGCAGGGGAUCACUUGUGACCUUGCGCUAAUAGAUGAGCCUACGUCGGAUUAGCUAGUUGGUGGGGUAAAGGCCUACCAAGGCGACGAUCUGAAGCGGGUCGGAGAGGAUGAUCCGCCACACCGGGACUGAGACACGGCCCAGACUCCUACGGGAGGCAGCAGUGGGGAAUAUUGGACAAUGGGGGGAACCCUGAUCCAGCCAUGCCGCGUGUGUGAAGAAGGCCUUAUGGUUGUAAAGCACUUUAAGCGAGGAGGAGGCUCUUUUGGUUAAUACCCAAGAUGAGUGGACGUUACUCGCAGAAUAAGCACCGGCUAACUCUGUGCCAGCAGCCGCCGUAA